This 465-nucleotide ribosomal RNA is filed under the name uncultured bacterium. RNAcentral's name for it is "partial 16S ribosomal RNA". It matches the Rfam family "Bacterial small subunit ribosomal RNA", at positions 338 to 795 of the family's 1533-position model. The record is from RNAcentral.
CCUACGGGAGGCAGCAGUAGGGAAUCUUCCACAAUGGGCGCAAGCCUGAUGGAGCAACACCGCGUGAGUGAAGAAGGGUUUCGGCUCGUAAAGCUCUGUUGUUGGAGAAGAACGUGCGUGAGAGUAACUGUUCACGCAAUGACGGUAUCCAACCAGAAAGUCACGGCUAACUACGUGCCAGCAGCCGCGGUAAUACGUAGGUGGCAAGCGUUAUCCGGAGUUAUUGGGCGUAAUGCGAGCGCAGGCGGUUGCUUAGGUCUGAUGUGAAAGCCUUCGGCUUAACCGAAGAAGUGCAUCGGAAACCGGGCAACUUGAGUGCAGAAGAGGACAGUGGAACUCCAUGUGUAGCGGUGGAAUGCGUAGAUAUAUGGAAGAACACCAGUGGCGAAGGCGGCUGUCUGGUCUGCAACUGACGCUGAGGCUCGAAAGCAUGGGUAGCGAACAGGAUUAGAUACCCCAGUAGUC